AUCCUUUUAUAGUUCAUAAGCAUGAUGAUUGGGUUUUCAUGCACAUGUAUGAGAUGUGCUUCCCACAAAUCUUGUAACAUCAGCACAUUACCCAUCUCACA
Molecule: small nucleolar RNA, 101 nt
Organism: Nycticebus coucang (slow loris)
Lineage: Eukaryota; Metazoa; Chordata; Mammalia; Primates; Lorisidae
Product: small nucleolar RNA U13
Exons: 1
Source: RefSeq, a predicted model, not a curated record